RNAcentral lists this ribosomal RNA (222 nucleotides) under uncultured bacterium. RNAcentral describes it as "partial 16S ribosomal RNA". It matches the Rfam family "Bacterial small subunit ribosomal RNA", at positions 328 to 539 of the family's 1533-position model. The record is from RNAcentral.
ACGCUCGACACCUACGGAGGCAGCAGUAGGGAAUCUUCCACAAUGGGCGCAAGCCUGAUGGAGCAACACCGCGUGAGUGAAGAAGGGUUUCGGCUCGUAAAGCUCUGUUGUUGGAGAAGAACGUGCGUGAGAGUAACUGUUCACGCAGUGACGGUAUCCAACCAGAAAGUCACGGCUAACUACGUGCCAGCAGCCGCGGUAAUCUGAGCGGGCUGGCAAGGC